UAAAAACCAAGCAGACUACAUUAACCUGCUGCGUAUUUCGAACUUAGAAUUAUUACAAGUUGUUUUACUUGAUUGUAAAAUGCUUGCUUAAUUCUUAUCUACUGGAUACUCUACUCUGUACUUAAUUGUAUGGAGUAUCGCCUAGCCAGCGGAGUUGAGGUUAAUUAACUCCUGACUUUGUACCAAGGAGUAAAAUUCUGAAGUGUGAUUAUGGGGUCAAGUUAAUUGAUUAUAAUGGGGUGCCAGUUAAUUUACUUUGAGUAAAUUAGAGUGUUCAAAGCAGCCUCUUGGGGCUUUGAAUAAUUUAGCAUGGGAUAAUGAAAUAGGAUUGGAUUCCUAUUUGUUGGUUUAAUGAAUCCAAUAAUGAUUAAGAGGGACAGUUGGGGGCACUCAUAUUAAGUGGUUAGCGGUGAAAUGUGUUGACCCACUUAAGAUGAACUAAAGCGAAAGCAUUUGCCAAGGAUGUUUUCAUUAAUCAAGAACGAAAGUUAAGGGAUCGAAGACGAUUAGAUACCGUCGUAGUCUUAACUAUAAACUAUGCCGACCAGGGAUAUGAGUAGUUUAUUUCUGAAUCACUUCGCGGGAUUCAAAUACUUCCCUUUAUGCACCUGGCAGGAAAAUCAAAAGUUUUUGGGUCCGGGGAGAAAGAAUGGUCCGAGUGGUUGAACCUUAAGGAAAUGGACGGAGGGACACCCCCCCCAACCGAAGGGGGAGGUUAAUUUGAUUCAACACGGGAAAAAUUAACAAGGUCCCGCACAUAUAAAGGUAUGGACAUAUUUAUAUACCUCUUUCAUGAAUAACAAGGGGGGAUGGUUUCUGGACCCAUCCAAAUUGGUUUUACGGACUCCACCAGUAUAAAUUCCCCUUACUAGGGGGAGACAUAUCACCGGAGAAAAAGGGGAACGCGCCAUUUCCAUAACAGGAUAUGGGGGGGGAGAAAACCCCCGGAAAGGGAGGGGAGCCCUUUUCCUUAAUUCUUUCUUGGGGGUGGAGAAUACGCGGGGGAAGUGUGAGGGUUGUUUUAUAUUAAAGGUAGUGUCUGUUCUGGAGAUACUCCCCACCACAUCUUAUGUUGGUAUUCACCAUGGAAGCAACUCCCCCCUACGAAAAAUCUUCUCACUUUCCACAUUGGGCGACUUCAUAGGUGAUGUAUGUUUAAGAACAAAAAGAACAAGCAAGCCAGAACACACCACGCGUGCGCGCCCUGGGGACUGUAUUAAAUAGGAGAAGACACAUCCAGCGGAACCCGCCUGUGCCUCGCACCUAUACCUUUUGGUUUUAUAUAUAUAUGAUAAACAACGACUCGCCCUCCAUUGACUGGGAGUUGUUUCUGUUGAUUGCGCCAAUUAAGGAUGAGGGUGGAUUAUACGACUGUUCCACUCUAUAAUGAACUCCCAUGGACUCUCGCUGAUGAUUAGUUUAGCCAAAUUACACUGGUGAAAGGGCCAUAUACGCCUGCGCAAUAUUUGUACAUACGCUCGAAAAGCCAGGUUGAGUCGUAUUUAUUGUCUACUCGAAAUACACAAACAUGUACUAUACCCAAU
RNAcentral lists this ribosomal RNA (1544 nucleotides) under uncultured amoeba. RNAcentral's name for it is "SSU rRNA". The stretch from base 118 to 636 matches the Rfam family "Eukaryotic small subunit ribosomal RNA", at positions 626 to 1112 of the family's 1831-position model. The record is from RNAcentral.